RNAcentral lists this ribosomal RNA (497 nucleotides) under uncultured bacterium. Its description in RNAcentral is "partial 16S ribosomal RNA". It matches the Rfam family "Bacterial small subunit ribosomal RNA", at positions 28 to 507 of the family's 1533-position model. The record is from RNAcentral.
GAUGAACGCUGGCGGCGUGCCUAAUACAUGCAAGUCGAGCGAACAGACGAGGAUCUUGCUCCUCUGACGUUAGCGGCGGACGGGUGAUUAACACGUGGAUAACCUACCUAUAAGACUGGGAUAACUUCGGGAAACCGGAGCUAAUACCGGAUAAUAUAUUGAACCGCAUGGUUCAAUAGUGAAAUACGGUUUUUCUGUCACUUAUAGAUGGAUCCGCGCCGCAUUAGCUAGUUGGUAAGGUAACGGCUUACCAAGGCAACGAUGCGUAGCCGACCUGAGGGGGUGAUCGGCCAAACUGGAACUGAGACACGGAACAGACACCUACGGGAGGCAGCAGUAGGGAAUAUUACGCAAUGGGCGAAAGCUUGACGGAGCAACGCCGCGUGAGUGAUGAAGGUGUUCGGAUCGUAAAACUCUGUUAUUAGGGAAGAACAAAUGUGUAAGUAAAUAUGCACGUCUUGACGGUAACUAAUCAGAAAGCCACGGCUAACUACGUG